UGGGAUUGCUUAUUCUAUACUUACACUCCCUUUUUUGUUAUAGUAAAAAGUAUUUUUAAAAAAUAAAAUAGAGCUUAAGUGGACAAAAGGGGAGUGGAGAAAUCAAC
RNAcentral lists this microRNA precursor (107 nucleotides) under Prunus persica (peach). RNAcentral's name for it is "miR6263 stem-loop (ppe-MIR6263)". Lineage: Eukaryota; Viridiplantae; Streptophyta; Magnoliopsida; Rosales; Rosaceae. The record is from miRBase by way of RNAcentral.